Molecule: long non-coding RNA, 426 nt
Filed under: Brassica napus (rape)
Lineage: Eukaryota; Viridiplantae; Streptophyta; Magnoliopsida; Brassicales; Brassicaceae
Description: long non-coding RNA (BNAP_LNC017545)
Source: RNAcentral
UGGGGCACUGAUGGUCAAGCCUUAGAUCUUGUGGGUUCUGAAAGCACUUGACAAUAUAGGAAAUAUUUAGAUUUAGACCCAAUACAUCAGAGGAGGUCCAAAUACUUGAAGAGGCCCAAACGAUUAGGUUUAGGUCAGAUGGGAAGCGGGGACCACGGAGGCCGCCGGGAUAAAGGACCACCGGUAGCCGGUUGUAUUCACCGGAGGCCUAAGUAGACACGACGAGUCUUGAUGGGGAGGAGACAAAUCCAUCCUCAGAGGAGACUGCAUUGGAGUCAAAGAAGGGGCCGACCAGAGAUGGAGAAAACGGAGAUACGGUGGAGAUAGUUUGUAGCAGAAGGCUCGAGUACAUCACCCGCCAUGGCACAUGAUCUAUUCGACGGUAUGGGAGUGGAAAAAACACGAUUCCCAGUCGCCAAUUCGUCG